RNAcentral lists this transfer RNA (75 nucleotides) under Pseudomonadota bacterium. RNAcentral's name for it is "Proteobacteria bacterium tRNA-Asp". It matches the Rfam family "tRNA". From Rfam's summary of the family: Transfer RNA (tRNA) molecules are approximately 80 nucleotides in length. Their secondary structure includes four short double-helical elements and three loops (D, anti-codon, and T loops). Further hydrogen bonds mediate the characteristic L-shaped molecular structure. tRNAs have two regions of fundamental functional importance: the anti-codon, which is responsible for specific mRNA codon recognition, and the 3' end, to which the tRNAs corresponding amino acid is attached (by aminoacyl-tRNA synthetases). tRNAs cope with the degeneracy of the genetic code in two manners: having more than one tRNA (with a specific anti-codon) for a particular amino acid; and 'wobble' base-pairing, i.e. permitting non-standard base-pairing at the 3rd anti-codon position. Lineage: Bacteria; Pseudomonadati; Pseudomonadota. The record is from RNAcentral.
GCCUUCUGGGUCAGUUGGUAACGACAUCAUCCUGUCGAGAUGAAAGAACGGGUUCGAUUCCCGUAGGGGGCGCAA